This 498-nucleotide ribosomal RNA is filed under the name uncultured bacterium. Its description in RNAcentral is "partial 16S ribosomal RNA". It matches the Rfam family "Bacterial small subunit ribosomal RNA", at positions 29 to 507 of the family's 1533-position model. The record is from RNAcentral.
AGCGAACGCUGGCGGCGUGCCUAACACAUGCAAGUCGAACGUGAAAAGGGAAACCUGAGUAAAGUGGCGUACGGGUGAGUAACGCGUAGGUAAUCUACCCCAGAAUCUGGAAUAACCUGCCGAAAGGCGGGCUAAUACUGGAUAGAGCGAGGGAACUCGUAAGAGAGUUUUUCGGGAAAGGGAGCCCGCAAGGGCCUUCGUUCUGGGAUGAGCCUGCGUCUCAUUAGCUAGUUGGUAAGGUAACGGCUUACCAAGGCGAUGAUGAGUAGCUGGUCUGAGAGGAUGAUCAGCCACACUGGAACUGAAACACGGUCCAGACGCCGACGGGAGGCAGCAGUGGGGAAUCUUGCGAAAUGGACGAAAGUCUGACGCAGCCACGCCGCGUGAGUGAAGAAGGCCUUCGGGUUGUAAAGCUCUGUCGGAUGGGACGAACAUCUUCAUAGUGAAUAGCUAUGAGGACUGACGGUACCAUCAAAGGAAGCACCGGCUAACUCCGUG